UGGCUCAGGACGAACGCUGGCUGCGUGCUUAACACAUGCAAGUCGAACGCUGAAGCCGACAGCUUGCUGUUGGUGGAUGAGUGGCGAACGGGUGAGUAACACGUGAGUAACCUGCCCCUGAUUUCGGGAUAAGCCUGGGAAACUGGGUCUAAUACCGGAUAUGACCUCCUGACGCAUGUUGGGUGGUGGAAAGUUUUUCGAUCGGGGAUGGGCUCGCGGCCUAUCAGCUUGUUGGUGGGGUAAUGGCCUACCAAGGCGACGACGGGUAGCCGGCCUGAGAGGGCGACCGGCCACACUGGGACUGAGACACGGCCCAGACUCCUACGGGAGGCAGCAGUGGGGAAUAUUGCACAAUGGGGGAAACCCUGAUGCAGCGACGCAGCGUGCGGGAUGACGGCCUUCGGGUUGUAAACCGCUUUCAGCAGGGAAGAAGCGAAAGUGACGGUACCUGCAGAAGAAGUACCGGCUAACUACGUGCCAGCAGCCGCGGUAAUACGUAGGGUACGAGCGUUGUCCGGAAUUAUUGGGCGUAAAGAGCUCGUAGGUGGUUGGUCACGUCUGCUGUGGAAACGCAACGCUUAACGUUGCGCGUGCAGUGGGUACGGGCUGACUAGAGUGCAGUAGGGGAGUCUGGAAUUCCUGGUGUAGCGGUGAAAUGCGCAGAUAUCAGGAGGAACACCGGUGGCGAAGGCGGGACUCUGGGCUGUAACUGACACUGAGGAGCGAAAGCAUGGGGAGCGAACAGGAUUAGAUACC
Molecule: ribosomal RNA, 756 nt
Filed under: Brevibacterium sp.
Lineage: Bacteria; Bacillati; Actinomycetota; Actinomycetes; Micrococcales; Brevibacteriaceae
Description: bacterial SSU rRNA
Rfam family: Bacterial small subunit ribosomal RNA
Source: RNAcentral